UACGAUAAUACCACGUUGAAACAUCAGUUCUCAUCCGAUCAGCAUAGUUAAGCAACGUUGAGCCUGGUUAUUACCUAGACGAGUGUCCGCUUGGGAAUACCAGGUACUA
Acanthosepion pharaonis is the source of this 109-nucleotide non-coding RNA. Lineage: Eukaryota; Metazoa; Mollusca; Cephalopoda; Sepiida; Sepiidae. The record is from the annotation of a GenBank genome assembly.